Molecule: transfer RNA, 73 nt
Filed under: Ailuropoda melanoleuca (giant panda)
Lineage: Eukaryota; Metazoa; Chordata; Mammalia; Carnivora; Ursidae
Rfam family: tRNA
About the family: Transfer RNA (tRNA) molecules are approximately 80 nucleotides in length. Their secondary structure includes four short double-helical elements and three loops (D, anti-codon, and T loops).
Source: Rfam by way of RNAcentral
UCCCGGCUGGCUCAGUUGGUAGAGCAUGGGGCUCUUUAUCUCAGGGCCGUGAGUUCAAGCCCCACAUUGGGUG